AUGAUGACGGUAAUGACGAUGCCAAAUUCGAUAUACUCAUAUGAGUAUGUUGAAAAUGACAAGGAGGAGUACUUCUUGCUCACAGUAAAGGAUGACAACCUCUUCCUCCGUACCGUGAUCGACCCAUCUGGCCAACAUAAGGGGAUGGUAUGGUUAGAGGACAAGCAAGACUGGAUGCUAUACUUUGUCGAGCCCACUGCAAAGUGCUCUGUCUAUUCCAUGUGCGGGGCUUUCAGUUGGUGCGCCGAUAACAUUGCCCCAUUAUGUAGCUGCCUUAGGGGCUUCAGCGCAAAAAGCCCAAUUGAAUGGAGCUCAGGAAUUUAUGCUGGAGGGUGCACCAGAAAUGUUGCAUUACCUUGCAGUAUCAGUGGUGUGAAUAGAUAUGAGGAGGAUAGAUUCUACGUGAUCAAUAACGUGAUGUUGCCUGAUGGGUCACAGAUUGUGCAAGCUGCAAGUGUAAGUGAUUGCGAGGUAGCAUGUCUUAAGAAAUGUGCUUGCUUGGCUUACUCAUACAACAACACCUGCUCUUUGUGGUACACCAAUAUGAUGAACCUCCAAGAAAAUCCUGAUAACACCGGGGAUAGUAUAUUCAUUCAACUUCCCGCUUCUGAGAUACCAGAUGCCAAAUCUUCGAGAGGGCGAACUAUAGGGGUUGUUGUUGGUGUCUCUGCACUUGCAUUGGGUGUAUCCUUUGUGGUUGUUUUGUGUAUUCUACGUAGGAGAAGAGGGAUCAAUGGUUCACAUAACAUUGACAUGAACCUAAUAGCCUUUAGGUACAAAGAUCUGCAACUAAUAACGAAGAACUUUUCAGAUAAGCUAGGUGUGGGAUCUUUCGGCUCAGUGUUCAAAGGAGCCCUUCAGAAUGGCACAAAUGUGGCGGUUAAGAAGCUUGAAGGUGUUCGUCAAGGCGAGAAGCAGUUCCGGGCAGAGAUGAGCACUCUUGGAACUAUUCACCAUGUGAACCUAAUUAAGUUGCUCGGGUUUUGCUCAGAGGGGGAGCACCGAAUGCUUGUUUACGAGUACAUGCCACAUGGAGCAUUGGACCAAUACCUAUUUAGGGUUGGUGGCAAUGAUGUUCUGCCUUGGAACACAAGAUACCAAAUAGCCAUUGGCAUUGCUAAAGGGUUAACUUACCUACAUGACAAGUGCAGGUAUUGCAUCAUCCAUUGUGACAUCAAGCCACAAAACAUAUUGUUGGAUGCCUCAUUUACGCCAAAAGUGUCAGAUUUUGGACUAGCGAAGCUACUAGGCCGGGACUUCAGCAGGGUCAUCACAACAAUGCGAGGAACCAUCGGCUAUUUGGCACCUGAGUGGAUAAGCGGCACCGCCAUCACAGUGAAAGCUGACGUGUUCAGCUACGGAAUGAUGCUCUUUGAGAUCAUCUCACAAAAAAGAAAUAUUGAGCAUGGGAAGAGAUGCGCGGACAAGUUCUUUCCGAUAUUAAUUGCAAAUAAUAUUCGGGAUGGUGACGUGCAUGCAUUGUUGGAUGCCAACUUGAGAAGCGAUGUCAACUUGGAGGAGCUUGAGAGGGCUUGCAUGGUUGCUUGUUGGUGCGUCCAAGAAGAUGAGUGCUCUAGGCCGACCAUGGGGGUAAUCGUACAGAUUUUGGAAGGCCUCAUCAAGGUUAAUAUGCCACCAAUUCCACGAUAUCUUCAGGUUCUUGCCGAAUCGGCAGACCAAUCAAUGCCCUCCUCAACCGAAUAA
This 1704-nucleotide ribosomal RNA is filed under the name Triticum aestivum (bread wheat). Its description in RNAcentral is "partial small subunit ribosomal RNA". Lineage: Eukaryota; Viridiplantae; Streptophyta; Magnoliopsida; Poales; Poaceae. The record is from RNAcentral.